Molecule: ribosomal RNA, 749 nt
Filed under: uncultured Capnocytophaga sp.
Lineage: Bacteria; Pseudomonadati; Bacteroidota; Flavobacteriia; Flavobacteriales; Flavobacteriaceae
Description: bacterial SSU rRNA
Rfam family: Bacterial small subunit ribosomal RNA
Source: RNAcentral
GAUGAACGCUAGCGGCAGGCCUAACACAUGCAAGUCGAGGGAGAGGUUACCUUCGGGUAACCAAAACCGGCGCACGGGUGCGUAACGCGUAUACAAUCUGCCUUUCACAUAGGGAUAGCCCGAAGAAAUUUGGAUUAAUACCUAAUGGUAUAUAAGAGCGGCAUCGUUUUUAUAUUAAAGCUACGGUGGUGAAAGAUGAGUAUGCGUUCUAUUAGCUAGUUGGAGAGGUAACGGCUCCCCAAGGCGACGAUAGAUAGGGGUUCUGAGAGGGAUGUCCCCCACACUGGUACUGAGAUACGGACCAGACUCCUACGGGAGGCAGCAGUGAGGAAUAUUGGACAAUGGUCGGAAGACUGAUCCAGCCAUGCCGCGUGCAGGAUGAAGGUCCUAUGGAUUGUAAACUGCUUUUGUAAGGGAAGAAUAAGGAGUACGUGUACUUUGAUGACGGUACCUUACGAAUAAGCAUCGGCUAACUCCGUGCCAGCAGCCGCGGUAAUACGGAGGAUGCGAGCGUUAUCCGGAAUCAUUGGGUUUAAAGGGUCCGUAGGCGGGCUGAUAAGUCAGAGGUGAAAGCGCUUAGCUCAACUAAGCGACUGCCUUUGAAACUGUCAGUCUUGAAUGAUUGUGAAGUAGUUGGAAUGUGUAGUGUAGCGGUGAAAUGCUUAGAUAUUACACAGAACACCGAUAGCGAAGGCAUAUUACUAACAAUUUAUUGACGCUGAUGGACGAAAGCGUGGGGAGCGAACAGG